CCUACGGGUGGCAGCAGUGAGGAAUAUUGGUCAAUGGACGAGAGUCUGAACCAGCCAAGUAGCGUGAAGGAUGACUGCCCUAUGGGUUGUAAACUUCUUUUAUAUGGGAAUAAAACGUUCCACGUGUGGGAUUUUGUAUGUACCAUAUGAAUAAGGAUCGGCUAACUCCGUGCCAGCAGCCGCGGUAAUACGGAGGAUCCGAGCGUUAUCCGGAUUUAUUGGGUUUAAAGGGAGCGUAGGUGGCUUGUUAAGUCAGUUGUGAAAGUUUGCGGCUCAACCGUAAAAUUGCAGUUGAAACUGGCAGUCUUGAGUACAGUAGAGGAGGGCGGAAUUCGUGGUGUAGCGGUGAAAUGCUUAGAUAUCACGAAGAACUCCGAUUGCGAAGGCAGUUCACUGGACUGCAACUGACACUGAGGCUCGAAAGUGUGGGUAUCAAACAGGAUUAGAUACCCGAGUAGUC
Molecule: ribosomal RNA, 460 nt
Filed under: uncultured bacterium
Lineage: Bacteria
Description: partial 16S ribosomal RNA
Rfam family: Bacterial small subunit ribosomal RNA
Source: RNAcentral